GCUUAUGCGUUCGUUGGGUAGGGGAGCGUUCUGUAAGCCUGUGAAGGUGGCCUGUGAGGGUUGCUGGAGGUAUCAGAAGUGCGAAUGCUGACAUAAGUAACGAUAAAGCGGGUGAAAAGCCCGCUCGCCGGAAGACCAAGGGUUCCUGUCCAACGUUAAUCGGGGCAGGGUGAGUCGACCCCUAAGGCGAGGCCGAAAGGCGUAGUCGAUGGGAAACGGGUUAAUAUUCCCGUACUUGGUGUUACUGCGAAGGGGGGACGGAGAAGGCUAUGUUGGCCGGGCGACGGUUGUCCCGGUUUAAGCGUGUAGGUGUGUGUUCCAGGUAAAUCCGGUU
RNAcentral lists this ribosomal RNA (334 nucleotides) under Salmonella enterica subsp. enterica serovar Kedougou. Its description in RNAcentral is "partial 23S ribosomal RNA". It matches the Rfam family "Bacterial large subunit ribosomal RNA", at positions 1212 to 1547 of the family's 2925-position model. The record is from RNAcentral. Lineage: Bacteria; Pseudomonadati; Pseudomonadota; Gammaproteobacteria; Enterobacterales; Enterobacteriaceae.